CGUGUAGGCGGUCUAUCGAGUCAGAUGUGAAAGCCCAGGGCUCAACCCUGGAAGUGCAUUUGAUACUGCCAUGCUUGAGUAUGGGAGAGGAGAGCGGAAUUCCCAGUGUAGAGGUGAAAUUCGUAGAUAUUGGGAGGAACACCCGUGGCGAAGGCGGCUCUCUGGACCAAUACUGACGCUGAGACGCGAAAGCGUGGGGAGCAAACAGGAUUAGAUACCCUGGUAGUCC
This 229-nucleotide ribosomal RNA is filed under the name uncultured bacterium. RNAcentral describes it as "partial 16S ribosomal RNA". It matches the Rfam family "Bacterial small subunit ribosomal RNA", at positions 568 to 796 of the family's 1533-position model. The record is from RNAcentral.